GACAGAGGGUGCAAACGUUGUUCGGAAUUACUGGGCGUAAAGCGUGUGUAGGCGGCCUUAUAAGUCGGAUGUGAAAGCCCAGGGCUCAACCCUGGAAGUGCACUCGAUACUGUAAGGCUCGAGUACUGGAGAGGUUGGUGGAAUUCCCGGUGUAGAGGUGAAAUUCGUAGAUAUCGAGAGGAACACCGGUGGCGAAGGCGGCCAACUGGACAGAUACUGACGCUGAGACACGAAAGCGUGGGGAGCAAACAGG
RNAcentral lists this ribosomal RNA (253 nucleotides) under uncultured bacterium. Its description in RNAcentral is "partial 16S ribosomal RNA". It matches the Rfam family "Bacterial small subunit ribosomal RNA", at positions 524 to 776 of the family's 1533-position model. The record is from RNAcentral.